GAAGGUAUAGCUCAGAGGUAGAGCACGUGCUUAGCAUGCCUGGGGUCCUGGGUUCAAUUCCUGGCACCUCCA
RNAcentral lists this transfer RNA (72 nucleotides) under Camelus bactrianus (Bactrian camel). It matches the Rfam family "tRNA". Rfam says of the family: Transfer RNA (tRNA) molecules are approximately 80 nucleotides in length. Their secondary structure includes four short double-helical elements and three loops (D, anti-codon, and T loops). RNAcentral also lists the same sequence under 2 other names. The record is from Rfam by way of RNAcentral. Lineage: Eukaryota; Metazoa; Chordata; Mammalia; Artiodactyla; Camelidae.